Leguminivora glycinivorella is the source of this 1195-nucleotide long non-coding RNA. RefSeq lists it as uncharacterized. Lineage: Eukaryota; Metazoa; Arthropoda; Insecta; Lepidoptera; Tortricidae. The record is from RefSeq and is a predicted model, not a curated record. The transcript has 8 exons.
ACACUCCGCCGCGCCAGCCGCCAUUUUUUCUUUUUCCUUAGACUCCCUUGCGUUAGCGUGCCGUGCCGUAUCUCACGUGCCUGUUGAAUUGAAUGUGAAGUUACGAGUAAUUAAAGUAAUUUAAUAGUCCAAAAUGAAUCCUGCAGAACAGGAAGACCAGGAUCGUGCAGUUUAUAGAUCUAGCAGCGGCGGUAGCCCGGUAGGGGUGAACAAUCGAGCCUGCAGCAGUGACGCAUUUUGUUCGCUCGGCGGCAGGGCGGACAUUUUGUUAAGCCCAAUGGCUUGAUCAGUACCAAGCAUGAAUUCGAGCUUUCCUAAAUUGUAGAACCCUUUCAGACCGGAAAAAUAGCACCGUGCUGAUUUAAAAUGAUGUAUUCAAAUAUAUCAAAAAUCGACUAUUGUCGACAUGUCGACGUUUAUCGUUCUGGUCCGAAAGCUUUAUGUGGUCGUUACUUUUACACAUAAUGGCAUGGAGUACCUAGUCAGCAUGAAGCCUGGGAAAAAGAAAAAUUAUAAAGAAAUCGCGAUGAUUCAAUUUCGUUCAAAGAAGACUUUUGAAUAGUCGCAGUCCUGUUGUGGAAUUGCCCCUUCCUGCUAAAGAUACAGGGUCUAGUGUUGUAGUAACACCAGUAUCAACGUUAAAUGCCAGAUAGCGAAAACUGCCCGACAUCUGAUUCCCAAAGUGGGAAUGACUUCCCGACAAGGAGGAAGAACAAAACACAUAGCCGACACCGAUAGUCUGGAUACUGGAUAGUUGUCAGAGCGUUUGUAAGUCAGUGGAUGUUCUCACAGAGCUGAAGGAGAUAAAACCUUUUGUUACGUUUAUUAUGAGAAAAGUAGAAGCGAUCGAAUUAUCAAUAAUAAAUGUUGCUUCGGAACCGAAACCAACAACAUUGUAGUUGCCUAAAUUACCUCUGACUCAAAUAAGCGAACUCGUGAACAUGGAGGCGAUGCUAGGCGAGGAAAACGUUCGAUCGCAAUUGUUUGAUAUGCUAAGGCAUACACGAAGAAUCAAAGAACGGGACUGUAUCAACCGCUGUCUGGAAAAAAUCUCGGAUUACUUGGGGCAGUAAUUGCUCUUGGACGGGGAAAAAAACAAUUUCAGAUUGUCUUCCCCAAAGCUGAUGAAUGUUAUAAAACUUUGAUAUGCUAAGGCAUACAGGAGGAAGCGAAGGAACGGGACUGCGUCAACCGC